GGAGAGGUGGCAGAGUGGUCGAAUGCGGCGGUCUUGAAAACCGUUGAACUGAAAGGUUCCGGGGGUUCGAAUCCCUCCCUCUCCGCAA
Molecule: transfer RNA, 88 nt
Filed under: Bacteroidia bacterium
Lineage: Bacteria; Pseudomonadati; Bacteroidota; Bacteroidia
Description: tRNA-Ser
Rfam family: tRNA
About the family: Transfer RNA (tRNA) molecules are approximately 80 nucleotides in length. Their secondary structure includes four short double-helical elements and three loops (D, anti-codon, and T loops).
Source: RNAcentral